GCCGAAGUGGUGGAAUUUGGUAGACACGCCAUCUUGAGGGGGUGGUGGGCGACGCCCGUGCGGGUUCAAAUCCCGCCUUCGGCACCA
RNAcentral lists this transfer RNA (87 nucleotides) under Deltaproteobacteria bacterium. RNAcentral describes it as "tRNA-Leu". It matches the Rfam family "tRNA". From Rfam's summary of the family: Transfer RNA (tRNA) molecules are approximately 80 nucleotides in length. Their secondary structure includes four short double-helical elements and three loops (D, anti-codon, and T loops). RNAcentral also lists the same sequence under 1 other name. Lineage: Bacteria; Pseudomonadati; Myxococcota; Myxococcia. The record is from RNAcentral.